Molecule: ribosomal RNA, 1530 nt
Filed under: Escherichia coli HVH 190 (4-3255514)
Lineage: Bacteria; Pseudomonadati; Pseudomonadota; Gammaproteobacteria; Enterobacterales; Enterobacteriaceae
Description: bacterial SSU rRNA
Rfam family: Bacterial small subunit ribosomal RNA
Source: RNAcentral
AGAGUUUGAUCAUGGCUCAGAUUGAACGCUGGCGGCAGGCCUAACACAUGCAAGUCGAACGGUAACAGAAAGCAGCUUGCUGCUUUGCUGACGAGUGGCGGACGGGUGAGUAAUGUCUGGGAAACUGCCUGAUGGAGGGGGAUAACUACUGGAAACGGUAGCUAAUACCGCAUAACGUCGCAAGACCAAAGAGGGGGACCUUAGGGCCUCUUGCCAUCGGAUGUGCCCAGAUGGGAUUAGCUAGUAGGUGGGGUAACGGCUCACCUAGGCGACGAUCCCUAGCUGGUCUGAGAGGAUGACCAGCCACACUGGAACUGAGACACGGUCCAGACUCCUACGGGAGGCAGCAGUGGGGAAUAUUGCACAAUGGGCGCAAGCCUGAUGCAGCCAUGCCGCGUGUAUGAAGAAGGCCUUCGGGUUGUAAAGUACUUUCAGCGGGGAGGAAGGGAGUAAAGUUAAUACCUUUGCUCAUUGACGUUACCCGCAGAAGAAGCACCGGCUAACUCCGUGCCAGCAGCCGCGGUAAUACGGAGGGUGCAAGCGUUAAUCGGAAUUACUGGGCGUAAAGCGCACGCAGGCGGUUUGUUAAGUCAGAUGUGAAAUCCCCGGGCUCAACCUGGGAACUGCAUCUGAUACUGGCAAGCUUGAGUCUCGUAGAGGGGGGUAGAAUUCCAGGUGUAGCGGUGAAAUGCGUAGAGAUCUGGAGGAAUACCGGUGGCGAAGGCGGCCCCCUGGACGAAGACUGACGCUCAGGUGCGAAAGCGUGGGGAGCAAACAGGAUUAGAUACCCUGGUAGUCCACGCCGUAAACGAUGUCGACUUGGAGGUUGUGCCCUUGAGGCGUGGCUUCCGGAGCUAACGCGUUAAGUCGACCGCCUGGGGAGUACGGCCGCAAGGUUAAAACUCAAAUGAAUUGACGGGGGCCCGCACAAGCGGUGGAGCAUGUGGUUUAAUUCGAUGCAACGCGAAGAACCUUACCUGGUCUUGACAUCCACGGAAGUUUUCAGAGAUGAGAAUGUGCCUUCGGGAACCGUGAGACAGGUGCUGCAUGGCUGUCGUCAGCUCGUGUUGUGAAAUGUUGGGUUAAGUCCCGCAACGAGCGCAACCCUUAUCCUUUGUUGCCAGCGGUCCGGCCGGGAACUCAAAGGAGACUGCCAGUGAUAAACUGGAGGAAGGUGGGGAUGACGUCAAGUCAUCAUGGCCCUUACGACCAGGGCUACACACGUGCUACAAUGGCGCAUACAAAGAGAAGCGACCUCGCGAGAGCAAGCGGACCUCAUAAAGUGCGUCGUAGUCCGGAUUGGAGUCUGCAACUCGACUCCAUGAAGUCGGAAUCGCUAGUAAUCGUGGAUCAGAAUGCCACGGUGAAUACGUUCCCGGGCCUUGUACACACCGCCCGUCACACCAUGGGAGUGGGUUGCAAAAGAAGUAGGUAGCUUAACCUUCGGGAGAGCGCUUACCACUUUGUGAUUCAUGACUGGGGUGAAGUCGUAACAAGGUAACCGUAGGGGAACCUGCGGUUGGAUCACCU